GACCAAUUUGUGCAGAAAUCCAUAUCAUCCCAAAGGGUUCACAUACUUUUUCUUGCAACUGUAUGGCCUAAAAUUAAAAGGUUCUUCCUGAUGCAGUGCUGCACAGUGUGCAACACUAACAUUCAGUGUCUCCACCAUCUUCUUAGAGACACUAAACUUUUCUCACAGAGAUGCAUUGAUUAGAUGCAUAUCUAUGAGGAGAUACUUAUUGGCCAGGGUGGCAUUUGGCUCUGCUGCUCAGCUUGCCUCCUUGGGUAAGUUCAUCAGAAUUGGCAAUCUCAGACAAUCCAAUGCUUUCUUAUGGGAUGAUGUCAGCCAAGGAGGCAGAUCAGGAGCAGAGUUAGCACCAGCAGACAGGAAUAAAGGUAAGAUUUUACUAAAUAGCCAGGGGGGAUAAAUAGUAUUUUUUUUUAACACUAUAGCAUCAGGAAUACAUGUCUGUAUUCCAGAAACUAUAGUGUUCCUUUAAAUGAAGGUCUCUGUUGACAUUUUAAUAACUAACAAAUCUUUCACAAAAAAUAAAGCUAUUUAAGUCCAGAUAAAGAUUUUGUUAAAAAAAUCAAUCAAAACAAAAUAAAAUAAAACUACUUUAUUCACUCAGAAGUAUAUGUAUAGUUGAAUGAACCAAAUGUACACAUGUAAUCUUAAGAAAGAUUUCUACAUAUGUGAGAGAAUGAUUACCUCUUUUCUAAUCACCAACCACACUAGUGUGACAUUUUUACCUUAAUUUAUGCGUUUUAUAU
This is a non-coding RNA of Pelobates cultripes (western spadefoot toad), 743 nucleotides long. The record is from the annotation of a GenBank genome assembly. NCBI's taxonomy places the organism in Eukaryota, Metazoa, Chordata, Amphibia, Anura, Pelobatidae.